Molecule: ribosomal RNA, 301 nt
Filed under: uncultured bacterium
Lineage: Bacteria
Description: partial 16S ribosomal RNA
Rfam family: Bacterial small subunit ribosomal RNA
Source: RNAcentral
CAGUCGCCGCGGUAAUACAGAGGGUGCGAGCGUUAAUCGGAUUUACUGGGCGUAAAGCGUGCGUAGGCGGCUUUUUAAGUCGGAUGUGAAAUCCCUGAGCUUAACUUAGGAAUUGCAUUCGAUACUGGGAAGCUAGAGUAUGGGAGAGGAUGGUAGAAUUCCAGGUGUAGCGGUGAAAUGCGUAGAGAUCUGGAGGAAUACCGAUGGCGAAGGCAGCCAUCUGGCCUAAUACUGACGCUGAGGUACAAAAGCAUGGGGAGCAAACAGGAUUAGAUACCCGCGUAGUCCCUGUCUCUUAUAA